This 775-nucleotide ribosomal RNA is filed under the name uncultured marine bacterium. RNAcentral's name for it is "bacterial SSU rRNA". It matches the Rfam family "Bacterial small subunit ribosomal RNA", at positions 94 to 883 of the family's 1533-position model. The record is from RNAcentral.
AGCGGCGAACGGGUGAGUAACGCGUGAGCAAUCUACCUUAGUUACAGGGAUAGCCCGAGGAAACUCGGAUUAAUACCUGAUAUUCUUUAUUUCUCGCAUGAGAAUAAAAGGAAAGGUCAGCCGAACUAAGAUGAGCUCGCGUUCUAUCAGCUAGAUGGUGAGGUAAAAGCUUACCAAGGCUACGACGGAUAGCUGGUCUGAGAGGACGAUCAGCCACACUGGGACUGAGACACGGCCCAGACUCCUACGGGAGGCUGCAGCAGGGAAUAUUGUGCAAUGAACGAAAGUUUGACACAGCGACACCGCGUGUGGGAUGACGGGUCUAGGUUUGUAAACCACUUUCAGGAGGGAAGAAAAUGACGGUACCUCCACAAGAAGCCCCGGCCAACUACGUGCCAGCAGCCGCGGUUAUACGUAGGGGGCGAGCGUUGUCCGGAUUUAUUGGGCGUAAAGAGCUCGUAGGCGGUUCAACAAGUCGGUCGUGAAAGUUCAGGGCUCAACCCUGAAAUGUCGAUCGAUACUGUUGUGACUAGGAUACGGUAGAGGUGAGUGGAAUUCCGAGUGUAGCGGUGAAAUGCGUAGAUAUUCGGAGGAACACCAAUUGCGAAGGCAGCUCACUGGACCGCUAUCGACGCUGAGGAGCGAAAGCUAGGGGAGCAAACAGGAUUAGAUACCCUGGUAGUCCUAGCUGUAAACGGUGGAUACUAGACGUAGGAACUGGAUUGACGGUUUCUGUGUCGUAGCUAACGCGUUAAGUAUCCCGCCUGGGGAGUAC